Molecule: long non-coding RNA, 396 nt
Organism: Anopheles stephensi (Asian malaria mosquito)
Lineage: Eukaryota; Metazoa; Arthropoda; Insecta; Diptera; Culicidae
Exons: 2
Source: RefSeq, a predicted model, not a curated record
UAACGAGAGCUGGUGGGAGCAUAGUUGGGGCGCGGCGUAGGUGGGUGGCAAAGGGUCAUUACGUAAAAGCACGUGAAGUGGCCCAUCGUCGGCAGUGAAACUGCAAUGUGUCCGGAUGGAAGAGCAAUUGACCCCGGGUAGUUAGAGACAGUGUGGAGGAGGACAAGUGUAUUGAAACAAUCAGCUGUCAUAGAACAUUCAAGAACUGUCUCGCCCUUUCUAUGGCCUUUUUUCAUCGCAGUCCCACUGACUGUAUCUCGGUGCGAAGUUCGUGUCCCGUACAAGGCAAAUUAAAUUGGCCGCAAUUUGCAACAGGAACGCUGCAAAUUGACAUUCGCGUGUCGGCCAAUGUCCAUUCCAAUUUGAGAUAGAGUACAAGCCCUCCAUUACUGCAAA